UAACCGAAGCUUGAACAAUUGGCGCAACAGCAGCAGCUCCGUUCUUCCUUGGACGACCGGGUCCUCUCUUAGCCGACUCCGUAACAGGAACCGGAACAGUCACAGGUAAUUGGACUUGUUGCAGUUGCCAGAUUGGCUGUCCGUUAGACUGGACUUGAAUAGGCUGAGCAUUGAUGGGUUGUUGUUGUUGACCUUCGGGUUUAGGUUUAGGAGGACGACCACGACCUCGUUUCAGAGGCUGAGAAGCAGAGACAGCCAUGGGAUCGUUGACGGUGCUGUUAGUUGAAGGGAGAAUCACAGAUCUGGGA
This 308-nucleotide long non-coding RNA is filed under the name Arabidopsis lyrata. Its description in RNAcentral is "long non-coding RNA (ALYR_LNC002333)". The record is from RNAcentral. Lineage: Eukaryota; Viridiplantae; Streptophyta; Magnoliopsida; Brassicales; Brassicaceae.